RNAcentral lists this long non-coding RNA (893 nucleotides) under Sinocyclocheilus grahami. Its description in RNAcentral is "lncRNA (ENSSGRG00000054901.1)". Lineage: Eukaryota; Metazoa; Chordata; Actinopteri; Cypriniformes; Cyprinidae. The record is from RNAcentral.
CAGUGCUCAAGUGUGACUCUCGCACAGUAAAUGUGUCGUGGCAUGCUGCCGCUGGUGCCAGCGUAUACACGGUCCUGGCACAAACACAGAAUCAAAGCAUUCCUCUCUCUUCCUGUCGGACCUCAGCCACUUCCUGUGACCUCACGCAAAUCCACUGUGGGGAGGUUUUUAAUGUCACAGUGUUUGCUGAUGACGGAGCCUGCAACAGCUCAGCACGGGCCAGCACUACACUGGAGUCGGGUAUAGAGAGCAUGUCCAGAUUACAGUCUUUAACUUUAAUUUGGAUUUGCUUGUGUAGCCUAAUGACUUAAUUUCCCUUAAUUUCUCUUCCUGUGUAAUGUCUCAGCGCCAUGUCCUCCGACAAUGAGGCCUCCUUCACUGAACUGCAGCACUAAUGCGGCCCUUGUGUCCUGGGUGAAGGACCCAGAUGCUGUGAGUGUCCGUGUCAGUGCCACCUCUGACCUGGGACACACUGCCUCUUGCAGCUCUUCUGCAAACAACUGCUCCCUGGACGCCAUGCUAUGUGGUCAGACGUACAAUGUAUAUGGUGUGGCCCGGGGCCCUCAGUGUGAGAGUGCACCUAGUGCUCCAUUCAGUAUUGUCACAGCCCCCUGCACCCCUGCUGAAGUGAGCGCUAACUACAGCUGCGGCACCAGCACAGAGCUGAGCUGGACUGACAGUCUGGGCCGAAAGAGCUUCUAUGUGCUUGCACAGACGAACAAUCACUCAGACUCCUGCAGCACAGUCCAAACCCACUGCUCCAUCAAUUCACUGAAGUGUGGAAGUCUUUAUAAUGUCUCUGUGGAAUCAAUUUCUGGCCACUGCAACAGCAGCCAUGCAGUCCACACACAGCUACAGACAGGUGAACACUCAUAAACGCAACACUUAUUUAC